GAUCAUAUAUAAUAUAUAAUCAGUGACUGAUACUCCUUCCCUCAUUCGAGCAUUGAAGAUGGCAUAACUAGUCUUGUACCUCUCAACAUUGUCAGGUGUGCCAAAAAACUUGUUCAAUAUUUGCAACAUAUCCUGUGGCUUAGCAUUCUCGAAACAAUGGCUAAACUCAUCAUUCAUCACUGCCAGCAUAAUUCAAUGAACUAUAGUUCGAUC
RNAcentral lists this long non-coding RNA (213 nucleotides) under Elaeis guineensis (African oil palm). RNAcentral's name for it is "long non-coding RNA (EGUI_LNC080499)". The record is from RNAcentral. Lineage: Eukaryota; Viridiplantae; Streptophyta; Magnoliopsida; Arecales; Arecaceae.